GCCCGGAUGGUGAAAUUGGUAGACACAAGGGAUUUAAAAUCCCUCGGCGUUCGCGCUGUGCGGGUUCAAGUCCCGCUCCGGGCACCA
Molecule: transfer RNA, 87 nt
Filed under: Gallaecimonas xiamenensis 3-C-1
Lineage: Bacteria; Pseudomonadati; Pseudomonadota; Gammaproteobacteria; Enterobacterales; Gallaecimonadaceae
Description: tRNA-Leu
Rfam family: tRNA
About the family: Transfer RNA (tRNA) molecules are approximately 80 nucleotides in length. Their secondary structure includes four short double-helical elements and three loops (D, anti-codon, and T loops). Further hydrogen bonds mediate the characteristic L-shaped molecular structure. tRNAs have two regions of fundamental functional importance: the anti-codon, which is responsible for specific mRNA codon recognition, and the 3' end, to which the tRNAs corresponding amino acid is attached (by aminoacyl-tRNA synthetases). tRNAs cope with the degeneracy of the genetic code in two manners: having more than one tRNA (with a specific anti-codon) for a particular amino acid; and 'wobble' base-pairing, i.e. permitting non-standard base-pairing at the 3rd anti-codon position.
Source: RNAcentral